AUUGAACGCUGGCGGCAGGCCUAACACAUGCAAGUCGAGCGGAUGAGGGGAGCUUGCUCCUUGAUUCAGCGGCGGACGGGUGAGUAAUGCCUAGGAAUCUGCCUGGUAGUGGGGGAUAACGUUCCGAAAGGAACGCUAAUACCGCAUACGUCCUACGGGAGAAAGCAGGGGACCUUCGGGCCUUGCGCUAUCAGAUGAGCCUAGGUCGGAUUAGCUAGUUGGUGAGGUAAUGGCUCACCAAGGCUACGAUCCGUAACUGGUCUGAGAGGAUGAUCAGUGACACUGGAACAGAGACACGGUCCAGACUCCUACGGGAGGCAGCAGUGGAGAAUAUUGGACAAUGGGCGAAAGCCUGAUCCAGCCAUGCCGCGUGUGUGAAGAAGGUCUUCGGAUUGUAAAGCACUUUAAGUUGGGAGGAAGGGCAGUAAGUUAAUACCUUGCUGUUUUGACGUUACCAACAGAAUAAGCACCGGCUAACUUCGUGCCAGCAGCCGCCGUAA
This 500-nucleotide ribosomal RNA is filed under the name uncultured bacterium. RNAcentral describes it as "partial 16S ribosomal RNA". It matches the Rfam family "Bacterial small subunit ribosomal RNA", at positions 30 to 523 of the family's 1533-position model. The record is from RNAcentral.